UACAGAGGUGGCAAGCGUUGUUCGGAAUUACUGGGCGUAAAGGGCGCGUAGGCGGCCUUCUUAGUCGGACGUGAAAUCCCCAGGCUCAACUUGGGAACUGCGUCCGAUACUGGAUGGCUUGAGUGCGGGAGAGGGAUGUGGAAUUCCAGGUGUAGCGGUGAAAUGCGUAGAUAUCGGGAGGAACACCUGAGGCGAAGGCGGGCUACUGGGCUGAUACUGACUCUGAGGCGCGAAAGCUAGGGGAGCAAACGGG
This 253-nucleotide ribosomal RNA is filed under the name uncultured bacterium. Its description in RNAcentral is "partial 16S ribosomal RNA". It matches the Rfam family "Bacterial small subunit ribosomal RNA", at positions 524 to 776 of the family's 1533-position model. The record is from RNAcentral.